Molecule: long non-coding RNA, 1185 nt
Filed under: Phascolarctos cinereus (koala)
Lineage: Eukaryota; Metazoa; Chordata; Mammalia; Diprotodontia; Phascolarctidae
Description: lncRNA (ENSPCIG00000033026.1)
Source: RNAcentral
UGGGUUUGGGGUUAAUGGGUAUAAUGGGGGAGGGGAAAACGAGGGGCACUGGGGGGUGGAACGGACGAGGCAGGAGGAAACAAGGCCAGCUGAGAGAGGGAAAGGGGGCAGUGCGGAGUGGCAGGGAAGGAAGGCAAAGAGAGUUCGUGAUUAUUGUAACACCUGCUAUCCCCCUGCCUCCUUAGUCCCGGUGCAGGCGAGGGAUACAUUUUUCCUUAGGGCCGUGGGGACCAGAGGGUGGGAAUCUCGAGGCAAGCUUGGUCUCUAGGUAGAGCAAGGGGAUUGUUCUUACCGUCUAAGCAGCAGCAAGCGUGUGCUGGAAGAGUCAUUCCUGAAACUGUGAGGGACAAGGUAAGAUUUUUGAGAACAUCUGAAUCUGCCAUUACGUUCAAGGAAACCAAGGAAUUACAACUUUCAGUGUAUUAUUGGAAAGCACCAACUACCUCAGCAGCAGGUACAACAUGGGCUCCAACGUCUCGAAGAGGGAGCAGGGAAAAGGAUCUCAAAAACUUGUCUUCAAUGAGGAUAAUAAUAGCUUGCAUUUCUAUAAUAUUUUAUGGUUAUAAAGUACUUUUUAUUAUGUGAUCACCAAAGUAACAUUUCACUUGAUCUUCACAACAAUCCUGUGAGGUGGGUAAAGCAACUAUUAUUAUCUCCAUUUUACAGAUGAGAACAUUGAGGCUUAGGGGGAUAGCUAGAACUAGUGGCAGAAAAGAUGUAGAAUUCGGCUCUCCCAACUUCUUUCCAUCAUACCAGGUUGCUUCUCUUCUGUUGAAAUGGCAAAGGAUUGGAGCCAGUUAACUGCAGUCUAGUGUCACUGCCACUAGUUGUAUGACCUGCAGCAGGUUCCUAAAUGUCUCUGUCUCUAUUUCCUUGUCCCCAGGUGCCAAAGGGGCUAAUAAGCAUCAUUCCCACCUCAAAAUGUUUUUGUGAGGAGAACAUGAAAUAUGAGGUAUGUGAAUUACACACUUUAUGUCUCCCCCUAAACACCAUGAUAUAGUCUGGGAAAAAUAUUCUGUAGAUGGGGAGGAAGGAGAAAAGUUUCUUUUAAAGUAGCAUGUAAAGCAACUGAGAUGUGUCUACGUUUUUGAAUAUUGCCUAUGCUGGACUCCAGUGCCCAGCUCUGUGCCUAACACACAGCAGAUACUUAAUAAAGGUUUGUUUAUUGAUUGAUUGGCUUUGGUU